AGCUAAAUCCCCGCCCUCCUUUUUUUCCUUUUUAAAUGGAGACUUAAGAAGUGUGCUUCUCAGAGUCAACCCCAAGUGUAUCUUCCCCCCCAUCCUUGCAGCUGGGCCAGAACCCAGCUCUACUACUGAGCUACAUCCUUUCGUAUUUUAAGGCCUUUUAAUUUAUUUAUACAGUCCUUUUUGUUUAAGUUACCCAGAUGGAACUGGAACUCGAGAUUCUCCAAUCUCAGCCUCCCCGAGUGCAGAGAUUACAGGUGUGAGCCACCUCCCAGCUCCCGUGUAUCUUGUCUGGUCUUACUAUGCAGUUCAGGCUGGCCUUGAACGCACUAUGGAGCCCUGGCUGGCCUCCACCUCAGGUGAUCCUCCUGCCUCAGCCUCCAGAGUGCUGGUAUCAUAGGUGUGUGCCACCAUGCCCAGCUAGACAUGUGACACGGAUGAACCUUGAUAGCUUCCUGACAGGACCUCGCUGUGCAGUACAGGCUGGCCUUGAAUGCUAGCCUCGAACUCGUGGCGAUCCUGCCUCAGCCUGCCUCAGCCUGCCUCAGCCUGCCUCAGCCUGCCUCAUCCUCUUGGCUCUGAUUUGCUCCUGUACCCUUGCUGCUGCACAUCCAUCCGGGUCGACCCCCCGCUACCCCAGUCAUUCACAGAUUUCCUCCACAGGAGUUCUGAUCACCCCCACCCCCCACCCCGUCCUUGAGCAGCAGGCCGGGGGCUGUUUCCACGGGGCAAAGGGACCAUAAAGGGCCGUUUUAACCACGGUCUGCUCAGGACAGGCACAUGUACCGAGUGCGGCCGUCAGAGCCCCAGCGAGGCAGCAGCACUUCUGUUUCUCCAGAAGCCCAGGCAAGAGGAGCCGGCAGCCCGGGGUCUGGGUCCGAGCUCGGCCCACCGGAAGGAG
RNAcentral lists this long non-coding RNA (898 nucleotides) under Heterocephalus glaber (naked mole-rat). Its description in RNAcentral is "lncRNA (ENSHGLG00000046579.1)". Lineage: Eukaryota; Metazoa; Chordata; Mammalia; Rodentia; Bathyergidae. The record is from RNAcentral.